AGUGAACGCUGGCGGUAGGCCUAACACAUGCAAGUCGAACGGCAGCACAGUAAGAGCUUGCUCUUACGGGUGGCGAGUGGCGGACGGGUGAGGAAUACAUCGGAAUCUACUUUUUCGUGGGGGAUAACGUAGGGAAACUUACGCUAAUACCGCAUACGACCUACGGGUGAAAGCAGGGGAUCUUCGGACCUUGCGCGAUUGAAUGAGCCGAUGUCGGAUUAGCUAGUUGGCGGGGUAAAGGCCCACCAAGGCGACGAUCCGUAGCUGGUCUGAGAGGAUGAUCAGCAACACUGGAACUGAGACACGGUCCAGACUCCUACGGGAGGCAGCAGUGGGGAAUAUUGGACAAUGGGCGCAAGCCUGAUCCAGCCAUACCGCGUGGGUGAAGAAGGCCCUCGGGUUGUAAAGCCCUUUUGUUGGGAAAGAAAAGCAGCAGGUUAAUACCCCGCUGUUCUGACGGUACCCAAAGAAUAAGCACCGGCUAACUUCGU
Molecule: ribosomal RNA, 491 nt
Filed under: uncultured bacterium
Lineage: Bacteria
Description: partial 16S ribosomal RNA
Rfam family: Bacterial small subunit ribosomal RNA
Source: RNAcentral